This 292-nucleotide ribosomal RNA is filed under the name uncultured bacterium. RNAcentral's name for it is "partial 16S ribosomal RNA". The record is from RNAcentral.
GGACUACUAGGGUAUCUAAUCCGGAUUGCUCCCCACGCUUUCGCGCCUCAGCGUCAGGCCAGGCCCAGGCAGCCGCCUUCGCCACUGGUGUUCCUCCGGAUCUCUACGCAUUCCACCACUACACCCGGAAUUCCACUGCCCUCUGCCCACCUCGAGCCCCGCAGUCUCGCCCGACCCCUCCCAGUUGAGCUGGGAGAUUUCACGGCCGACUUGCGGGGCCGCCUACGCGCGCUUUACGCCCAAUGAAUCCGGACAACGCUCGCCCCCUACGUAUUACCGCGGCUGCUGGCAC